Molecule: ribosomal RNA, 216 nt
Filed under: Glomeromycotina sp.
Lineage: Eukaryota; Fungi; Glomeromycota
Description: partial small subunit ribosomal RNA
Rfam family: Eukaryotic small subunit ribosomal RNA (bases 40-216)
Source: RNAcentral
GGGUCAGUAGGUUGGUCGUGCCACCGGUACGUACUGGUCUCACUGAUUCCUCCUUCCUGAAGAACCGUAAUGCCAUUAAUUUGGUGUUGAGGGGAAACAGGACUGUUAAUUUGAAAAAAUUAGAGUGUUUAAAGCAAGCUAACGCUUGAAUACAUUAGCAUGGAAUAAUGAAAUAGGACGAUCGAUCCUAUUUUGUUGGUUUCUAGGAUUGACGUA